Molecule: ribosomal RNA, 422 nt
Filed under: uncultured bacterium
Lineage: Bacteria
Description: bacterial SSU rRNA
Rfam family: Bacterial small subunit ribosomal RNA
Source: RNAcentral
UAAGGAAUAUUGGUCAAUGGACGCAAGUCUGAACCAGCCAUGCCGCGUGAAGGAUGAAGGUCCUCUGGAUUGUAAACUUCUUUUAUCUGGGACGAAAACGGGAUUUUUAUCUCAAUUGACGGUACCAGAGGAAUAAGCACCGGCUAACUCCGUGCCAGCAGCCGCGGUAAUACGGAGGGUGCGAGCGUUAUCCGGAUUUACUGGGUUUAAAGGGUGCGUAGGUGGGCUUAUAAGUCAGUGGUGAAAUCUCCGAGCUUAACUUGGAAACUGCCGUUGAUACGAUAGGUCAUGAAUGAUCUGGAGGUAAGCGGAAUAUGUCAUGUAGCGGUGAAAUGCUUAGAUAUGACAUAGAACACCAAUUGCGAAGGCAGCUUACUGCAUAUAAAUUGACGCUGAGGCACGAAAGCGUGGGGAUCAAACAG